UACGGAGGGUCCAAGCGUUAUCCGGAAUCAUUGGGUUUAAAGGGUGCGCAGGCGGUUUUGUAAGUCAGUGGUGAAAUCCCUUCGCUCAACGAAGGAACUGCCAUUGAUACUGCAAAACUUGAAUACAGUUGAAGUAGGCGGAAUGUGUAGUGUAGCGGUGAAAUGCUUAGAUAUUACACAGAACACCGAUAGCGAAGGCAGCUUACUAAACUGAGAUUGACGCUCAUGCACGAAAGCGUGGGGAGCGAACAGG
RNAcentral lists this ribosomal RNA (253 nucleotides) under uncultured prokaryote. RNAcentral describes it as "partial 16S ribosomal RNA". It matches the Rfam family "Bacterial small subunit ribosomal RNA", at positions 524 to 776 of the family's 1533-position model. RNAcentral also lists the same sequence under 1 other name. The record is from RNAcentral.